UAAAAAAUAAAUAAAGCAGAUCCAGUUAUCUCUCCCGUGUGGAGUUACCGGCCACCGCUCGCUGCGCUUCCCUCUGCCCUAACCCACCAAGCGACCAUCCGCCCCUCUCCCGCGGAGUCGCCGGCCACCGCGCAGCCCCUCAUACGUCCCCCUUGCGCGCAGCCUGUUCUCCGUCGCCCCUCGCGCGAAGCCUGUUCUCCGUCGCCCUUGCGCGCUGCAAGCGCCACACCGCGCCCCGAUUCUCCGCAGUGUACAUCCGCUGCUCGCCGCCGCCGUCCUGCCAACCUGACUCCUCCGACCUGUGGCGGUUUUCGCCGCGCAGCCCAUCCGCCGCUGAUUCAUGGAGGUCCUCGUCCGUACGGCCUGUGCACCGUGAGCCGAGACGUCGAGGAGGAGCUCAGGAGAGAGAUGGAGGGCUUUUGCUCUUUUGGUUGAUGACAUGGUCUGGAACCUGUAGUUUGAUGUGAUGAUCACUCAUCGCCUGCCGCCAUCGCCCAGCCCUCCACUGCCGUCUCAGCAGACCAUCAUGAGCGGUGGACAUUUUAUAUGCAACUUUUGAAUUAUUGCAUAAGCUUCCACAUUGCAGACUUUUUCAUGCAGUUUUUUGUAUUCAAAUUUGGAGAUGUUGUUUAUUUAGUAUUCUUCAGCUUGUGCUAAAGUAUUAUGCUGACCUUAAGCUAUUUGACGAUCUGUAAUACACAUAUUCGACAUGAACUCAGCAAAAUCUUAAAUUGUUUAAUUGGAAGAAUCAAAACUUAUAACUAGCCUAUGAAUCUGGUCCACUGGAGCACAUAAACUUGUUUUUUUUUACAACCACAAGAUUUAAAGUUGGUAAAGAGUUAACUACUUUCAAGGUUUACUCGUUGAUCAUGAGUUUUGUUACUAAUUGGCACACAUUGUAAUAUCCCCUCUUCUGACCUGAAGGUAUAUAUAUACUUUUUAACUUUCUGGUUCUUAGUUGUUUAUUUUUCAAAUGAACAAUAAAAUCUGCUUGGUAUGGCCUUUUGAGAAGCAAAAGUGCAGGAAUUAGUAUGUGUUGCAGGAAUCAGAAACAAAUGUGCAUUCAAAAUUUCUGGCAAGACAAACAAGAAUAUGUCAUCAAAGAAUUCCUAAUAAAGAGAAAUCCAAUAGCUAUACGUGAGCGAGCACUCGCUAAUCACCUCCAAUUCUUCUAUCUUGGAUUACAAGAAAGAUCUGAUUUCUCAGUUAAAUGUUACUUUUUUUAUUUCAUAAAUUCUUUUUACAAAUAAAAUUCCUAAUGAGCUUGAACCAUCUACUUUGUAUUAGAGUGGAGUUAGGAUGAACAUUCAUUGUUUACAGAAGCAAUGAGAUGUUUGUCUCUUUUGAUUUGAACUAAACUAUAGUUUUCUACAUUAUUUUUCUGACUUCUACUUCAUGUGUUCUAUGUCUUCUAGAUGAGAAAAAUCUCUCGUAUGCUUUCAUGCUGAUUGUAUAUUAAGAACUUAAUUUGAACCCCAAGUCACAUUAUCUUUUAAUUGCUUAUGCAGUUUUGUUAAUUUGAGUGCUAAGUCCCUUGAACUGUUCAACAUUAUUAUUUUUAAUUAUAUAUCGUGCCCAUGUGUUAACUUGGAACAAUCCAGAUUGGUUCUAGGGAGUAACUUCAGAUGAACCCGUUUUGCUAUAGUAUUCCAAUCCAUAUUAGUUGUCACUGAUUUAGUAAGAUUUUGUACUAAAUCAGCGACAACUAAUCUGGAUCGGAGGGAGUUGUGAAGAUGUUCAGUCAGUUUAACUUUUAAGUGUGGAUGUUACAAUCUCACCGGAGCAUUAUUUUAUUUUAUUUUAUUUUUAAGUCUGUUGUGCAAGGUUAUCGUGGGUUUAGUGCUUUGUUGACAUAUCAAUGUAAUGUCUCAGUGGUCCAUGCCGAAUUGAUAUAGGUAGGAAUUUGAAUUCAUAUAUAAACAAUAUUACAUGUUAGCAUGUAUUCAAGAAAUCGCUAUCUUUUCAUUUUCUCGUAUUGUAUCUCUCUAUGAUGAGCCUCUGUGUUCUCUACCUUUCUUAGUAGAGGUGUAACACGUGUAGAUAUAUAGAUUUGCUCUCAUGAAGUCUCAAUAUAUGCAAAAAUUGAACAUGUUUUGAGAGUUAUAUAUGUUUUGCAAAAAUCAAACAACAAAGAACGUUGUGGUUCCAUAAUAAUGGAAGGUGGUUCCGUAGCAGCGCAUGGGCACCUAACUAGUAUAAUAGAUUUCUCAACGAGAACAUCAAAUUCUUCAAAGCACAAACACAUAGAGAAGGGAAAAGGAAGAACAACGUGGACGCCCUGGCAGAAUCGAAACGAUUGCUACAGUACCAAUAUUUAAAGUGCAGACCUAGAAUUAAAUAUUAAACAGUACUAGUGACAACACGAAAACACGAGGCACAAAACAAAUAUCCCCAACAAACACCACAGGGAGACUUUUCAGCGACUAGUCUAGUGCCAGUGCAUUGUAACCGAAAGAUAAACAUCUUAUCACUUAAUAAGAAGAAUGAAGCUGGAAGGAUAACUGAAAUCAGAAAAGCUUCAGAAGGUUUUGUUUACCUUGUGAGUGCCAAAUGGUUGCAUGCAUGCGUCCUAACUGUUUCGAUGCAAGUUUAAACUCCUACCGUGACUCGAUAAUUAACAUUUCAUUCCCGGAUCCCAUUACUCAUGUAAGUGUCAAUGGAGUUACAGCCUUACAGGUCCACGAGCAACUGUGAACCUACCGUCAAUGGUCUUCUUAAGGAGAUAAAGUCGGUCCGCAGAAAAUUAUAUUAAGGACCACACACUUCUAUCAAGAUUGCAGAGUGGGGUGAGGAUGAAAUAGGCAGUGCAAUUGUGAAGCAACUGGGCUAAGUAGCUUCUGGGAGACCAAGUUUCUCACGCUCAUUUUGAUAGCCUAAACUAUAUUGGGCUGAAUUAUUUUAUGAUAUCAAUUGCAUGUUUCUUUCCAAAGGCUGAAGUAAAGCUGUUCAAUGCAAGUCAUGGUUCCAUACUUUAUAAUACUCUCAUCAUCUUUUUUAUCACAGGAUGAAUUUUGCUUCUGUCAACAAAAUGAUGUUUUUCAUAUGUAGGGAGUUGUAACUAAGGCCAUGAGCCAUGAUUAUGCUCCUCUAUAUCUGCUGCACUCAGGAACAGUACGUGUUUCAGCUUUAUAAACUUCAGAUAGUGCAAAGUAAAAAAAUAAUAGCAAGUCAGUUGUGCACACAUUCUAUGUAUAAGUUGUGGCACAUGCAGCCUGUCACAGACUUGGUCUGAGGAGAUAGCAGCACUUGAGGAGGAAGUUGUUCGCAGGCAAUUGCAUUUUCUUUCCCUCUACAAGGCAACAUUUGAUAUAUACCUGGGUAUCUCCUGAGUGUCUCUGGUCAGGCAAUAUUUGUUUUGAAAAAAUUGAACAGAUACUAUUGUCUGAAAUAGCAAAACGAUUUGUAUCAUCAGUUUCUGGAACAGUUGACUUGAAGAAACUAUUUGACCCUUCAA
Long non-coding RNA from Brachypodium distachyon (stiff brome), 3454 nucleotides. RefSeq lists it as uncharacterized. The transcript has 3 exons. Lineage: Eukaryota; Viridiplantae; Streptophyta; Magnoliopsida; Poales; Poaceae. The record is from RefSeq and is a predicted model, not a curated record.